This 505-nucleotide ribosomal RNA is filed under the name uncultured bacterium. Its description in RNAcentral is "bacterial SSU rRNA". It matches the Rfam family "Bacterial small subunit ribosomal RNA", at positions 8 to 526 of the family's 1533-position model. The record is from RNAcentral.
AGAGUUUGAUCAUGGCUCAGGACGAACGCUGGCGGCGUGCUUAACACAUGCAAGUCAAGGGGAAUAGGGUAGCAAUAUCCUUAGUACACUGGCGCACGGGUGAGUAAAAUAUAAGUAACCUACCUCUAGAUAUGGGAUAACACUUCGAAAGAAAUGCUAAUACCGUAUAAUGCAGCGGCACCACAUGGUGAUGUUGUUAAAGUCGUAGUAGACGUCUAGAGAUGGGCUUGUAACUGAUUAGCUAGUUGGCGGGGUAACAGCCCACCAAGGCUACGAUCAGUAGCUGGUCUGAGAGGAUGAUCAGCCACACUGGAACUGAGACACGGUCCAGACUCCUACGGGAGGCAGCAGUGAGGAAUAUUGGGCAAUGCCCGAAAGGGUGACCCAGCAACGCCGCGUGAGUGAAGAAGGCCCUAGGGUUGUAAAGCUCUUUCGUCAGGGAAGAUAAUGACGGUACCUGAAGAAGAAGCCCCGGCUAACUCCGUGCCAGCCGCCGCGGUAAUAC